CCUGAGUAAAGUGGCGCACGGGUGAGUAACACGUAGGUAACCUACCUCUAAGUUUGGGAUAACCUGUCGAAAGAUGAGCUAAUACUGAAUAAGACCACAGUUUCCUCGGAAGCAGGGGUCAAAGGUAGCCUCUAUUUAUAAGCUAUCACUUAGAGAUGGGCCUGCGUACCAUUAGCUAGUUGGUGAGGUAACGGCUCACCAAGGCAAAGAUGGUUAGCUGGUCUGAGAGGAUGAUCAGCCACACUGGAACUGAGAUACGGUCCAGACUCCUACGGGAGGCAGCAGUGGGGAAUUUUGCGCAAUGGGGGAAACCCUGACGCAGCAACGCCGCGUGAGUGAUGAAGGCCCUUGGGUCGUAAAGCUCUGUCAGAGGGGAAGAAAUGCGGGGCGGUUAAUACCCGUUCCACUUGACGGUACCCUCAAAGGAAGCACCGGCUAACUCCGUGCCAGCAGCCGCGGUAAUACGGAGGGUGCAAGCGUUGUUCGGAUUUAUUGGGCGUAAAGGGCGUGUAGGCGGUCCGUUAAGUCUGAUGUGAAAGCCCUGGGCUCAACCCAGGAAGUGCAUUGGAAACUGGCGGACUUGAGUACGGGAGAGGGCAGUGGAAUUCCUAGUGUAGGAGUGAAAUCCGUAGAUAUUAGGAGGAACACCGGUGGCGAAGGCGGCUGCCUGGACCGAUACUGACGCUGAGACGCGAAAGCGUGGGGAGCAAACAGGAUUAGAUACCCUGGUAGUCCACGCCG
This 741-nucleotide ribosomal RNA is filed under the name uncultured Pseudomonadota bacterium. Its description in RNAcentral is "bacterial SSU rRNA". It matches the Rfam family "Bacterial small subunit ribosomal RNA", at positions 85 to 802 of the family's 1533-position model. Lineage: Bacteria; Pseudomonadati; Pseudomonadota. The record is from RNAcentral.